ACUGGCGGCAUGCUUUACACAUGCAAGUCGAACGGCAGCACGGGUGCUUGCACCUGGUGGCGAGUGGCGGACGGGUGAGUAAUGCAUCGGAACGUGUCCUGAAGUGGGGGAUAACGCAUCGAAAGAUGUGCUAAUACCGCAUAUUCUCUGAGGAGGAAAGUAGGGGAUCGAAAGACCUUAUGCUUUUGGAGCGGCCGAUGUCUGAUUAGCUAGUUGGUAGGGUAAUGGCUUACCAAGGCGACGAUCAGUAGUUGGUCUGAGAGGACGGCCAGCCACACUGGGACUGAGACACGGCCCAGACUCCUGCGGGAGGCAGCAGUGGGGAAUUUUGGACAAUGGGCGCAAGCCUGAUCCAGCAAUGCCGCGUGAGUGAAGAAGGCCUUCGGGUUGUAAAGCUCUUUCAGUUGAGAAGAAAAAGUCGUGACUAAUAAUCAUGAUUCAUGACGGUAUCAACAGAAGAAGCACCGGCUAACUACGUG
RNAcentral lists this ribosomal RNA (479 nucleotides) under uncultured bacterium. Its description in RNAcentral is "bacterial SSU rRNA". It matches the Rfam family "Bacterial small subunit ribosomal RNA", at positions 36 to 507 of the family's 1533-position model. The record is from RNAcentral.